CAAGACAUAGCUUAAUCAAAAGCACUCAGCUUACACCUGAAAAAUGUCCAAUAAACUAGGGCUGUCUUGA
Molecule: transfer RNA, 70 nt
Filed under: Rheodytes leukops
Lineage: Eukaryota; Metazoa; Chordata; Testudines; Chelidae
Description: tRNA-Val
Rfam family: tRNA
About the family: Transfer RNA (tRNA) molecules are approximately 80 nucleotides in length. Their secondary structure includes four short double-helical elements and three loops (D, anti-codon, and T loops).
Source: RNAcentral